Hippocampus zosterae (dwarf seahorse) is the source of this 311-nucleotide long non-coding RNA. RefSeq lists it as uncharacterized. The record is from RefSeq and is a predicted model, not a curated record. Lineage: Eukaryota; Metazoa; Chordata; Actinopteri; Syngnathiformes; Syngnathidae. The transcript has 2 exons.
AUGGGACUCGCUGCCGGUAAACUGUAAAAUUAUCACUGAGAGAUUACCGCUUUUUCUGCAGUCAGUGAUUGACUUCUAUGCAGUCAUUUCUCAACUUGUGUUCCGUGCCACGUCAUGCCUGUUGAGUGUUGAUUUACUACAUAUUAAGAAACUACUGCACUAAAACAUUAAUUCAUAAAUGUAUACCAUAUGAUUUUAUUUUCUCAGGUUAUGGCGGAGGGGUGUUGCAAAUCAUGAGGACCUGCCAAGUGGUAUGAUAGCAUUGUUUUAUACAUGUCCUCGGCUAGGCCUCAGCUUCAAAAUCAGUCCUU